RNAcentral lists this ribosomal RNA (429 nucleotides) under bacterium. RNAcentral's name for it is "partial 16S ribosomal RNA". It matches the Rfam family "Bacterial small subunit ribosomal RNA", at positions 355 to 776 of the family's 1533-position model. The record is from RNAcentral.
UAGGGAAUCUUCCACAAUGGACGCAAGUCUGAUGGAGCAACGCCGCGUGAGUGAAGAAGGUUUUCGGAUCGUAAAGCUCUGUUGUUGGUGAAGAAGGAUAGAGGCAGUAACUGGUCUUUAUUUGACGGUAAUCAACCAGAAAGUCACGGCUAACUACGUGCCAGCAGCCGCGGUAAUACGUAGGUGGCAAGCGUUGUCCGGAUUUAUUGGGCGUAAAGCGAGCGCAGGCGGAAUGAUAAGUGUGAUGUGAAAGCCCACGGCUCAACCGUGGAACUGCAUCGGAAACUGUCAUUCUUGAGUGCAGAAGAGGAGAGUGGAAUUCCAUGUGUAGCGGUGGAAUGCGUAGAUAUAUGGAAGAACACCAGUGGCGAAGGCGGCUCUCUGGUCUGCAACUGACGCUGAGGCUCGAAAGCAUGGGUAGCGAACAGG